This 568-nucleotide ribosomal RNA is filed under the name uncultured archaeon. RNAcentral describes it as "bacterial SSU rRNA". It matches the Rfam family "Archaeal small subunit ribosomal RNA", at positions 311 to 879 of the family's 1478-position model. The record is from RNAcentral.
CGCGAAUUCGCCCUUCGGGGUGCAGCAGGCGCGAAAACUUUACAAUGCCGGCAACGGCGAUAAGGGAACCUCGAGUGCCAGGUUACAAAUCUGGCUGUCGUGAUGCCUAAAAAGCAUUGCAUAGCAAGGGCCGGGCAAGACCGGUGCCAGCCGCCGCGGUAACACCGGCGGCUCGAGUGGUAACCGUUAUUAUUGGGUCUAAAGGGUCUGUAGCCGGCCGGGUAAGUCUCUUGGGAAAUCUGGCAACUUAACUGUCAGGCUUUCAGGAGAUACUGCCUGGCUCGAGGCCGGGAGAGGUGAGAGGUACUUCAGGGGUAGGGGUGAAAUCUUGUAAUCCUUGAAGGACCACCAGUGGCGAAGGCGUCUCACCAGAACGGACCUGACGGCAAGGGACGAAAGCUAGGGGCACGAACCGGAUUAGAUACCCGGGUAGUCCUAGCCGUAAACGAUACUCGCUAGGUGUCGGCCACGGUGCGACCGUGGUCGGUGCCGUAGGGAAGCCGUGAAGCGAGCCACCUGGGAAGUACGGCCGCAAGGCUGAAACUUAAAGGAAUUGGCGGGGGAGCAC